Molecule: ribosomal RNA, 460 nt
Filed under: uncultured bacterium
Lineage: Bacteria
Description: partial 16S ribosomal RNA
Rfam family: Bacterial small subunit ribosomal RNA
Source: RNAcentral
CCUACGGGAGGCAGCAGUGAGGAAUAUUGGUCAAUGGACGAGAGUCUGAACCAGCCAAGUAGCGUGAAGGAUGACUGCCCUAUGGGUUGUAAACUUCUUUUAUAUGGGAAUAAAAUGUUCCACGUGUGGGAUUUUGUAUGUACCAUAUGAAUAAGGAUCGGCUAACUCCGUGCCAGCAGCCGCGGUAAUUCGGAGGAUCCGAGCGUUAUCCGGAUUUAUUGGGUUUAAAGGGAGCGUAGGUGGAUUGUUAAGUCAGUUGUGAAAGUUUGCGGCUCAACCGUAAAAUUGCAGUUGAAACUGGCAGUCUUGAGUACAGUAGAGGUGUGCGGAAUUCGUGGUGUAGCGGUGAAAUGCUUAGAUAGCACGAAGAACUCCGAUUGCGAAGGCAGUUCACUGGACUGCAACUGACACUGAGGCUCGAAAGUGUGGGUAUCAAACAGGAUUAGAUACCCUUGUAGUC